RNAcentral lists this ribosomal RNA (247 nucleotides) under uncultured bacterium. RNAcentral describes it as "partial 16S ribosomal RNA". It matches the Rfam family "Bacterial small subunit ribosomal RNA", at positions 15 to 259 of the family's 1533-position model. The record is from RNAcentral.
GAUCCUGGCUCAGGACGAACGCUGGCGGCGUGCUUAACACAUGCAAGUCGAACGAUGAUGCUCCAGCUUGCUGGGGUGGAUUAGUGGCGAACGGGUGAGUAACACGUGAGUAACCUGCCCCCUUCUUCGGGAUAAGCUUGGGAAACUGGGUCUAAUACUGGAUAUUCUGCAAUUGUCGCAUGGUGGUUGUGGGAAAGAUUUUUUGGUGGGGGAUGGGCUCGCGGCCUAUCAGCUUGUUGGUGGGGUG